UACGUAGGGGGCUAGCGUUGUCCGGAAUCAUUGGGCGUAAAGAGCGUGUAGGCGGUCCGGUAAGUCCGCUGUGAAAGUCGGGGGCUCAACCCUCGAAUGCCGGUGGAUACUGUCGGGCUAGAGUGCGGAAGAGGAGAGUGGAAUUCCCGGUGUAGCGGUGAAAUGCGCAGAUAUCGGGAAGAACACCUAUGGCGAAGGCAGCUCUCUGGGACGGUACUGACGCUGAGACGCGAAAGCGUGGGGAGCGAACAGG
Molecule: ribosomal RNA, 253 nt
Filed under: uncultured bacterium
Lineage: Bacteria
Description: partial 16S ribosomal RNA
Rfam family: Bacterial small subunit ribosomal RNA
Source: RNAcentral